UCCCCCACCCUCUGCAGCACAGCUGGGCGCUGCUGAGGCAGAGACCCCGAAAGCCCUGGGGGCUCUGAGGGCAGCGGGGCUCCCUCAAACCUCAGCAAAGCCCAGGGAAGGCGCCCGGAGGGCCUGGGGAGCAGCGUGCUUUCCCCACUCGGUCCCCCCUGGCAGAACCGGACUCUCGGGGGCCUCAGCAGUGCCCAGCCCAGCCUCACCCAGCGCUGCCCGGAGCCAGAGGAAGAUGAAGGUGGCUCUGCUCAGCGUGGCCCUGCUCUUCUCCAUCCUGCUGUGCCCCCCGGCUCAGGCCCAGGCACCCCCGGAAGAAACCCAAGAUGAUCUCGUGAAGGUGGAUUUAGACGAUGGGGACGUGGAUGUGGACGUGCCUCUGGACGAACUGGAUGAAAGGGUGAAGGAACUUCUGCGGCAGAAGCGCGCCGUGGCUGCCUCUCUGAGGGUCUAGGGUCAGAAGGAGCGGUGUCCUUUUCCUCUCCAGGGGCAUGAGGAGAUGAUCAUCCCUG
RNAcentral lists this long non-coding RNA (512 nucleotides) under Lonchura striata (white-rumped munia). RNAcentral's name for it is "domestica (Bengalese finch) lncRNA (ENSLSDG00000011780.1)". The record is from RNAcentral. Lineage: Eukaryota; Metazoa; Chordata; Aves; Passeriformes; Estrildidae.